RNAcentral lists this transfer RNA (71 nucleotides) under Camelus bactrianus (Bactrian camel). It matches the Rfam family "tRNA". From Rfam's summary of the family: Transfer RNA (tRNA) molecules are approximately 80 nucleotides in length. Their secondary structure includes four short double-helical elements and three loops (D, anti-codon, and T loops). RNAcentral also lists the same sequence under 2 other names. Lineage: Eukaryota; Metazoa; Chordata; Mammalia; Artiodactyla; Camelidae. The record is from Rfam by way of RNAcentral.
UGGGGAAUAGCUCAGUGGUAGAGCUGUACUUAGCAUGUACAAGGUCCUGGGUUCAACCCCCAGUUCCUCCA